GGGGUUGUGGCUCAGCAGUAGAGCACUCGCCUACCAUGUGUGAGGCCCUGAGUUCGAUCCUCAGCACCA
RNAcentral lists this transfer RNA (69 nucleotides) under Ictidomys tridecemlineatus (thirteen-lined ground squirrel). Its description in RNAcentral is "Spermophilus tridecemlineatus (thirteen-lined ground squirrel) tRNA". It matches the Rfam family "tRNA". From Rfam's summary of the family: Transfer RNA (tRNA) molecules are approximately 80 nucleotides in length. Their secondary structure includes four short double-helical elements and three loops (D, anti-codon, and T loops). RNAcentral also lists the same sequence under 1 other name. Lineage: Eukaryota; Metazoa; Chordata; Mammalia; Rodentia; Sciuridae. The record is from Rfam by way of RNAcentral.